RNAcentral lists this ribosomal RNA (460 nucleotides) under uncultured bacterium. RNAcentral describes it as "partial 16S ribosomal RNA". It matches the Rfam family "Bacterial small subunit ribosomal RNA", at positions 338 to 795 of the family's 1533-position model. The record is from RNAcentral.
CCUACGGGUGGCUGCAGUGAGGAAUAUUGGUCAAUGGACGCAAGUCUGAACCAGCCAUGCCGCGUGCAGGAAGACGGCUCUAUGAGUUGUAAACUGCUUUUGUACGGGGAUAAACUCAGAUACGCGUAUCUUUCUGCAUGUACCUUACGAAUAAGGAUCGGCUAACUCCGUGCCAGCAGCCGCGGUAAUACGGAGGAUUCAAGCGUUAUCCGGAUUUAUUGGGUUUAAAGGGUGCGUAGGCGGUCGGAUAAGUUAGAUGUGAAAUCCCGAGGCUCAACUUCGGAAUUGCCUUUGAUACUGGUCGGCUAGAGAGUAGUUGCGGUAGGCGGAAUGUAUGGUGUAGCGGUGAAAUGCUUAGAGAUCACACAGAACACCGAUUGCGAAGGCAGCUUACCAAGCUACUUCUGACGUUGAGGCACGAAAGCGUGGGUAUCGAACAGGAUUAGAUACCCUUGUAGUC